This 406-nucleotide ribosomal RNA is filed under the name uncultured bacterium. RNAcentral describes it as "partial 16S ribosomal RNA". It matches the Rfam family "Bacterial small subunit ribosomal RNA", at positions 28 to 526 of the family's 1533-position model. The record is from RNAcentral.
GAUGAACGCUAGCUACAGGCUUAACACAUGCAAGUCGAGGGACCGGCGCACGGGUGAGUAACACGUAUACAACCUGCUCUUUACUCGGGGAUAGCCUUUCGAAAGAAAGAUUAAUACCCGAUGUAAAGGAUGGAGAUGCGUUGCAUUAGGUUGUGGGUGAGGUAACGGCUCACCAAGCCUUCGAUGGAUAGGGGGUAUGAGAGCAACGACCCCGACACUGGAACUGAGCCACGAGCCACACUGCUAGCAGAGGCAGCAGUUAGGCAGAUUGGUAAAUGGGCGUGAGCCUGAAACAGCCCGGUAGCGUGAAGGAUGAUGGGUUGUGGGUCGUUGACUUCUGUUAUAUAAGAAUAGGUAUUAGAUUAAUAAGGAUCGGCUAACUCCGUGCCAGCAGCCGCGGUAAUUC